This is a non-coding RNA of Cavia porcellus (domestic guinea pig), 87 nucleotides long. The record is from Rfam. NCBI's taxonomy places the organism in Eukaryota, Metazoa, Chordata, Mammalia, Rodentia, Caviidae.
AAUGCUUUGCUGAAGCUGGUAAAAUGGAACCAAAUCAACUGUUCAAUGGAUUUGGUCCCCUUCAACCAGCUGUAGCUGCGCAUUGAU